RNAcentral lists this ribosomal RNA (551 nucleotides) under uncultured Glomeromycotina. RNAcentral describes it as "SSU rRNA". It matches the Rfam family "Eukaryotic small subunit ribosomal RNA", at positions 548 to 1098 of the family's 1831-position model. Lineage: Eukaryota; Fungi; Glomeromycota. The record is from RNAcentral.
UUGGAGGGCAAGUCUGGUGCCAGCAGCCGCGGUAACUCCAGCUCCAAUAGCGUAUAUUAAAGUUGUUGCAGUUAAAAAGCUCGUAGUUGAACUUCGGGGUCUACCCAUUGGUCAGGCUUAAUUGUCUGUACUGGUGAGAUGGAUCUCUACCUUCUGAGGAACUUUCAUGCCAUUUAUUUGGUGUGAUGGGAAAUCAGGACUGUUACUUUGAAAAAAUUAGAGUGUUUAAAGCAGACUAUCGUCUGAGUACAUUAGCAUGGAAUAAUGAAAUAGGACGGACUGAUUCUAUUUCGUUGGUUUCUAGGAUCACCGUAAUGAUUAAUAGGGAUAGUUGGGGGCAUUAGUAUUCAAUUGUCAGAGGUGAAAUUCUUGGAUUUAUUGAAGACUAACUACUGCGAAAGCAUUUGCCAAGGAUGUUUUCAUUAAUCAAGAACGAAAGUUAGGGGAUCGAAGACGAUCAGAUACCGUCGUAGUCUUAACCAUAAACUAUGCCGACUAGGGAUCGGACGAAGUUAAUUUUAUAAUGACGCGUUCGGCGCCUUACGGGAAAC